GUCAUCAUAUUGUUGUUAUUACAUGUAAUUGUCAUGCCUUUGGCCCUCUUAUGGGUGUAAUUUGUGCAUUAAUAAAGAAUUAAAAAGUCUAGUUUUUUGCAUAUUGAUUAAUUUCUCAGUCUUAAAUUUCAAUGGAGUGUUUUGUUGAUUUGUUUGUCUUUCUUAGUCUUUUGUUUUAACCUGUUGCGUUUGUGAGUGUCU
This 201-nucleotide long non-coding RNA is filed under the name Mytilus galloprovincialis (Mediterranean mussel). The record is from RNAcentral. Lineage: Eukaryota; Metazoa; Mollusca; Bivalvia; Mytilida; Mytilidae.